This 253-nucleotide ribosomal RNA is filed under the name uncultured bacterium. RNAcentral describes it as "partial 16S ribosomal RNA". It matches the Rfam family "Bacterial small subunit ribosomal RNA", at positions 524 to 776 of the family's 1533-position model. The record is from RNAcentral.
UACGAAGGGUGCAAACGUUGCUCGGAAUCAUUGGGCGUAAAGCGCACGUAGGCGGCUCCAAAAGUCGGAUGUGAAAUCCCUGGGCUCAACCGAGGAAGUGCAUCCGAAACUGCGGAGCUUGAGUAUGGAAGAGGGUCGCGGAAUUCCCGGUGUAGAGGUGAAAUUCGUAGAUAUCGGGAGGAACACCAGUGGCGAAGGCGGCGACCUGGGCCAAUACUGACGCUGAGGAGCGAAAGCGUGGGGAGCGAACAGG